GUCCCCGUAGUUAAACGGAUAUAACAAGUCCCUCCUAAGGACUAGUUACAGGUUCGAUUCCUGUCGGGGACACCA
Molecule: transfer RNA, 75 nt
Filed under: Christensenellaceae bacterium
Lineage: Bacteria; Bacillati; Bacillota; Clostridia; Christensenellales; Christensenellaceae
Description: tRNA-Arg
Rfam family: tRNA
About the family: Transfer RNA (tRNA) molecules are approximately 80 nucleotides in length. Their secondary structure includes four short double-helical elements and three loops (D, anti-codon, and T loops).
Source: RNAcentral